This 470-nucleotide ribosomal RNA is filed under the name uncultured Malikia sp. Its description in RNAcentral is "bacterial SSU rRNA". It matches the Rfam family "Bacterial small subunit ribosomal RNA", at positions 8 to 479 of the family's 1533-position model. The record is from RNAcentral. Lineage: Bacteria; Pseudomonadati; Pseudomonadota; Betaproteobacteria; Burkholderiales; Comamonadaceae.
AGAGUUUGAUCAUGGCUCAGAUUGAACGCUGGCAGCAUGCUUUACACAUGCAAGUCGAACGGUAGGGUAGCAAUACCUGAGAGUGGCGAACGGGUGAGUAAUGCAUCGGAACAUGCCUAUUUGUGGGGGAUAGCCCGGCGAAAGCCGGAUUAAUACCGCAUACGAUCUACGGAUGAAAGCUGGGGACCGCAAGGCCUAGCGCAAAUAGAGUGGCCGAUGUCAGAUUAGCUAGUUGGUGGGGUAAAGGCCCACCAAGGCAACGAUCUGUAGCUGGUUUGAGAGAACGACCAGCCACACUGGGACUGAGACACGGCCCAGACUCCUACGGGAGGCAGCAGUGGGGAAUUUUGGACAAUGGGCGCAAGCCUGAUCCAGCAAUGCCGCGUGCAGGAUGAAGGCCUUCGGGUUGUAAACUGCUUUUGCACGGAACGAAACGGCUCUGGUUAAUACCCGGGGCUAAUGACGGUACC